GCAUUCCCGGGGCGUCUCUAUCUCAUUGCGAGACGAGGCGCACCUAGAGCGCACACGCUGAUACCCGAAAGAUGGUGAACUAUGCCUGGCCAGGACGAAGCCAGGGGAAACCCUGGUGGAGGUCCGUAGCGAUUCUGACGUGCAAAUCGAUCGUCGGAGCUGGGUAUAGGGGCGAAAGACCAAUCGAACCAUCUAGUAGCUGGUUCCCUCUGAAGUUUCCCUCAGGAUAGCUUGCACUCGGGACGAGACGAGUCUCAUCCGGUAGAGCGAAUGAUUAGAGGCCUUGGGGUCGAAACGACCUCAACCUAUUCUCAAACUCCAAAUAGAUGAGAGCCCCGGCUUUCUUGAAUUUUAUUCUAUGAAGCCGGUGGAUUCUGAUCAGAGUGCCAAGUGGGCCAAUUUUGGUAAGCAGAACUGGCGCUGUGGGAUGAACCAAACGUCGAGUUAAGGCGCCUAAAUCGACGCUCAUGCGAAACCAUGAAAGGGCGUUGGUUGCUUAAGACAGCAG
This 508-nucleotide ribosomal RNA is filed under the name Malaysiamiris rufobadius. RNAcentral's name for it is "partial large subunit ribosomal RNA". It matches the Rfam family "Eukaryotic large subunit ribosomal RNA", at positions 755 to 1243 of the family's 3401-position model. The record is from RNAcentral. Lineage: Eukaryota; Metazoa; Arthropoda; Insecta; Hemiptera; Miridae.